This 377-nucleotide ribosomal RNA is filed under the name uncultured Sphingobacteriales bacterium. RNAcentral's name for it is "bacterial SSU rRNA". It matches the Rfam family "Bacterial small subunit ribosomal RNA", at positions 1002 to 1381 of the family's 1533-position model. The record is from RNAcentral. Lineage: Bacteria; Pseudomonadati; Bacteroidota; Sphingobacteriia; Sphingobacteriales.
UGAAAGCUUACAUCUCUUCGGAGCAUUUUACGAGGUGCUGCAUGGUUGUCGUCAGCUCGUGCCGUGAGGUGUCGGGUUAAGUCCCAUAACGAGCGCAACCCUACCUUAGUUGCCAUCAGGUAAUGCUGGGGACUCUAAAGGAACUGCCUACGCAAGUAGUGAGGAAGGCGGGGAUGACGUCAAAUCAGCACGGCCCUUACGUCCAGGGCUACACACGUGCUACAAUGGCCGAUACAGAGGGCAGCUACCUGGUGACAGGAUGCAAAUCUCCAAAGUCGGUCUCAGUUCGGAUCGGAGUCUGCAACCCGACUCCGUGAAGUUGGAUUCGCUAGUAAUCGCGCAUCAGCCAUGGCGCGGUGAAUACGUUCCCGGGCCUA